AUUAAAAUUAAAUAGGAAUAAUUAAACCUAAAUGUAAAACAGUAAAUCAUCAAGGUUUUUUGAACUCACGUACCCAAACCGGGUUCCUAGGACUCACUGCGCGCAACCACCAAAAGUUUGUGUGCCUCCACACACACCUCUACGGGAUCGCCAUGCACCGCCGCUAUUCACCGUCGAUUGCUGCUACGAAUUGGCCAAAAUUCGCCAAAGAGCACUUCCUGCCCUUAGAUCUGACAUAGAUUUGGUGGAAUCGAGCCUAAGGGAGCCGCAGAACAGCAAAACACACUUCGGGCAAUCACACAAAUUGUCUUCUUCUCAUGCGUGCCGUUGCGCGCAACAUCGGACUCUCCUCUACCUUUUUCUUCUUCUUCUUCUUC
Molecule: long non-coding RNA, 377 nt
Filed under: Carica papaya (papaya)
Lineage: Eukaryota; Viridiplantae; Streptophyta; Magnoliopsida; Brassicales; Caricaceae
Description: long non-coding RNA (CPAP_LNC015969)
Source: RNAcentral